RNAcentral lists this non-coding RNA (30 nucleotides) under Homo sapiens (human). The record is from RNAcentral. Lineage: Eukaryota; Metazoa; Chordata; Mammalia; Primates; Hominidae.
UCCCAAACUCUAUCUUGCCAGUAUGGGAGG